AAUCAACGCUGGCGGCGUGCCUAACACAUGCAAGUCGAACGCGAAAGCCCUUUCGGGGGUAAGUAGAGUGGCGUCCGGGUGAGUAACACGUAGGUAAUCUACCUUCGGGUGGGGAAUAACGUCUCGAAAGAGACGCUAAUACCGCAUAAUGCAGCGGCACCUAAUGGUGAUUAGUUGUUAAAGCGGGGGGAUCGUAAGACCUCGCGCCUGAAGAGGAGCCUGCGGCAGAUUAGCUAGUUGGNGAGGUAAUGGCUCACCAAGGCUUCGAUCUGUAGCUGGUCUGAGAGGACGGCCAGCCACACUGGCACUGACAC
This 314-nucleotide ribosomal RNA is filed under the name uncultured bacterium. RNAcentral's name for it is "bacterial SSU rRNA". It matches the Rfam family "Bacterial small subunit ribosomal RNA", at positions 32 to 325 of the family's 1533-position model. The record is from RNAcentral.